GAUGAACGCUGGUGGUAUGCUUAACACAUGCCAGUCGAACGGACUCUUCGGAGUUAGUGGCGGACGGGUGAGUAACGCGUGAGAAUCUGGCUUUGGGUUCGGGACAACCACUGGAAACGGUGGCUAAUACCGGAUGUGCCGAGAGGUAAAAGAGAAAUUGCCUGAAGAUGAGCUCGCGUCUGAUUAGCUAGUUGGUGAGGUAAAGGCUCACCAAGGCAGCGAUCAGUAGCUGGUCUGAGAGGAUGACCAGCCACACUGGGACUGAGACACGGCCCAGACUCCUACGGGAGGCAGCAGUGGGGAAUUUUCCGCAAUGGGCGAAAGCCUGACGGAGCAAUACCGCGUGAGGGAAGAAGGCUCUUGGGUUGUAAACCUCUUUUCUUAGGGAAGAACAAAAUGACGGUACCUAAGGAAUCAGCAUCGGCUAACUCCGUG
RNAcentral lists this ribosomal RNA (435 nucleotides) under uncultured bacterium. RNAcentral describes it as "partial 16S ribosomal RNA". It matches the Rfam family "Bacterial small subunit ribosomal RNA", at positions 28 to 507 of the family's 1533-position model. The record is from RNAcentral.